This 66-nucleotide transfer RNA is filed under the name Pseudotaxiphyllum elegans. Its description in RNAcentral is "partial tRNA-Leu". Lineage: Eukaryota; Viridiplantae; Streptophyta; Bryopsida; Hypnales; Plagiotheciaceae. The record is from RNAcentral.
GCGCUACGGACUUAAAAAAAUCCGUUGGCUUUAUUGACCGUGAGGGUUCAAGUCCCUCUACCCCCA